Molecule: non-coding RNA, 27 nt
Filed under: Rattus norvegicus (Norway rat)
Lineage: Eukaryota; Metazoa; Chordata; Mammalia; Rodentia; Muridae
Source: RNAcentral
CAGAGUUAGUACGCUGGUCCAGCUGGU